This 450-nucleotide ribosomal RNA is filed under the name uncultured bacterium. Its description in RNAcentral is "partial 16S ribosomal RNA". It matches the Rfam family "Bacterial small subunit ribosomal RNA", at positions 354 to 796 of the family's 1533-position model. The record is from RNAcentral.
GUAGGGAAUCUUCCACAAUGGACGAAAGUCUGAUGGAGCAACGCCGCGUGAGUGAAGAAGGUCUUCGGAUCGUAAAACUCUGUUGUUAGAGAAGAACGUGCAUGAUAGUAACUGAUCAUGUAAUGACGGUAUCUAACCAGAAAGCCACGGCUAACUACGUGCCAGCAGCCGCGGUAAUACGUAGGUGGCAAGCGUUGUCCGGAUUUAUUGGGCGUAAAGGGAACGCAGGCGGUUUUUUAAGUCUGAUGUGAAAGCCUUCGGCUUAACCGAAGAAUAGCAUUGGAAACUGGAAGACUUGAGUGCAGAAGAGGAGAGUGGAAUUCCAUGUGUAGCGGUGAAAUGCGUAGAUAUAUGGAGGAACACCAGUGGCGAAGGCGGCUCACUGGCUCGAUACUGACGCUGAGGUGCGAAAGCGUGGGGAGCAAACAGGAUUAGAAACCCCUGUAGUCC